UACGUAGGAGACGAGCGUUGUCCGGAAUUACUGGGCGUAAAGCGUACGUAGGCGGCUUUGCAAGUUAGAGGUGAAGGCCUGGAGCUCAACUCCAGAACUGCCUUUAAAACUGCAUCGCUUGAAUCCAGGAGAGGUGAGUGGAAUUCCGAGUGUAGAGGUGAAAUUCGUAGAUAUUCGGAAGAACACCAGUGGCGAAGGCGGCUCACUGGACUGGUAUUGACGCUGAGGUACGAAAGCGUGGGGAGCAAACAGG
Molecule: ribosomal RNA, 253 nt
Filed under: uncultured bacterium
Lineage: Bacteria
Description: partial 16S ribosomal RNA
Rfam family: Bacterial small subunit ribosomal RNA
Source: RNAcentral